UAGGGAAUCUUCGGCAAUGGACGAAAGUCUGACCGAGCAACGCCGCGCGAGUGAAGAAGGUUUUCGGAUCGUAAAACUCUGUUGUUAGAGAAGAACAAGGACGUUAGUAACUGAACGUCCCCUGACGGUAUCUAACCAGAAAGCCACGGCUAACUACGUGCCAGCAGCCGCGGUAAUACGUAGGUGGCAAGCGUUGUCCGGAUUUAUUGGGCGUAAAGCGAGCGCAGGCGGUUUCUUAAGUCUGAUGUGAAAGCCCCCGGCUCAACCGGGGAGGGUCAUUGGAAACUGGGAGACUUGAGUGCAGAAGAGGAGAGUGGAAUUCCAUGUGUAGCGUUGAAAUGCGUAGAUAUAUGGAGGAACACCAGUGGCGAAGGCGGCUCUCUGGUCUGUAUCUGACGCUGAGGCUCGAAAGCGUGGGGAGCAAACAGG
This 429-nucleotide ribosomal RNA is filed under the name Gemmatimonadota bacterium. RNAcentral describes it as "Gemmatimonadetes bacterium partial 16S ribosomal RNA". It matches the Rfam family "Bacterial small subunit ribosomal RNA", at positions 355 to 776 of the family's 1533-position model. The record is from RNAcentral. Lineage: Bacteria; Pseudomonadati; Gemmatimonadota.